RNAcentral lists this transfer RNA (72 nucleotides) under Ovis aries (sheep). It matches the Rfam family "tRNA". Rfam says of the family: Transfer RNA (tRNA) molecules are approximately 80 nucleotides in length. Their secondary structure includes four short double-helical elements and three loops (D, anti-codon, and T loops). The record is from Rfam by way of RNAcentral. Lineage: Eukaryota; Metazoa; Chordata; Mammalia; Artiodactyla; Bovidae.
UCCUGGGUGGCUCAGAUGGUAAAGUGUCUGCUAACAAUGCAGGAGGCCCAGGUUCGAUCCCUGGGUCAGGAA